This 732-nucleotide long non-coding RNA is filed under the name Gallus gallus (chicken). Its description in RNAcentral is "lncRNA (ENSGALG00010006088.1)". Lineage: Eukaryota; Metazoa; Chordata; Aves; Galliformes; Phasianidae. The record is from RNAcentral.
CGGGAGAUGGGGAAAGGGGAGGACGGACGCUAUUAAGGAUUGGGGUGAUGGGGAAGGGAAGGCGAGCGAUAGAAAUGAUAGAAAGAGGCAAGAAUUGCGUAAAGCGGGGAUAGUCACCACCAGGAUCCGGCAGCAGUCCCGUUGCACGAUGUUCCGACGGUCCAAGGCCGAAGGGCAGGAGCAGCGAGGCCGGUCUUGGGCAACGAGAGGGUGCAGGUCGGGGAGGAAGCAGCAGGUCUCAGGUAGCAGGCCCAGGGAAGUCCGUCGGCAAACGGUCCGUAGAGAAGGAUCGGAAGGCAGGAAGCUCGUGUCGUGGUGAGAGAUCAGUCUCCACGUAGAGAUCCAUCUACACGUUGCGAUCAGCCUCCACGUUGUGGUGAAGGAUCAGAUGGCAGAGAACCCCUCAAGUCUGUCGUGGUGAGAAGAUAAGCCUCUACCAUCGCCGUGGUUGUUGGACCCUCUUUUAUCCUCCAUUUUCUGCUGCCUACAUGACAUUCCUGGGUGCUUGAGCAAGAGUCCUGUGCAUACCUCCUGAGAUGGCCAUUUUCCUUGAGACAAGUCCCCACAAAAAGACCGUUUCCCGGCCAUUAGCAGCAGCUUAUCUCUCUCUCGUUGCCCCUGGCCUUGUCCAUCUGUGCUCCUUAGAGGAUAUCACAAUCCUUAGCCAGGACCUGUCCAUCAGUGUCCUCAAGACAAAAGAUUUCUCUGCCUUUGCCCAGGACUUGCCUGGAC